GCCCGUGUAGCACAACGGAAGUGCAAGUGACCUGUAAUCACUAGGUUGGGGGUUCGAAUCCCUUCGCGGGCUCCA
RNAcentral lists this transfer RNA (75 nucleotides) under Gammaproteobacteria bacterium AqS3. RNAcentral's name for it is "tRNA-Thr". It matches the Rfam family "tRNA". From Rfam's summary of the family: Transfer RNA (tRNA) molecules are approximately 80 nucleotides in length. The record is from RNAcentral. Lineage: Bacteria; Pseudomonadati; Pseudomonadota; Gammaproteobacteria.